Molecule: RNA transcript, 1925 nt
Organism: Ricinus communis (castor bean)
Lineage: Eukaryota; Viridiplantae; Streptophyta; Magnoliopsida; Malpighiales; Euphorbiaceae
Gene name: lisH domain-containing protein C1711.05
Exons: 9
Source: RefSeq, a predicted model, not a curated record
CCUUUAUUGGACAGAGAAGAAGCCCUAGCUCCCUUCUAUUCACCUAAUAAUAUAAAUACAACCACCUUCAAAAAAUUGGCCCUCCGCCCACCGCUGGCCAAAUCUUAUUUUGCUUCUUUUCUGUACUCUGCUCCGAGACUAUAUCAGCUUAGAGAGCUCUUUCUCUAUACAUAUAUAUAUUUAAAAGAAAAAGGAAGGAAGAAAUUACAUGCCCAAAACCCAAAUUGGAAAGACAGUAGAAGUGAAUCCUAGCAUUUUAGCAUUUAAGCCUCGCCAGGUGCUGUUGUUGUCUAAACCGCCAGCAAGCAGCAUGAAGCUAGACGACGGCAGCAACAACAACGACAAACUAAUUCUUAAGCCGGAGCAGAAGACAUUGCUCUUGAAUUCCAUAGCUCAGUAUCUGGAACGAAGUGGCUUCUCCAAAACUGUUAAGAAGUUUCGUUCUGAAGCCAGAAUCCAGAAAGAUGAUUUAAUUGAAUCUUCUUUUGACCUGCAAGAGAUGUUUAUCAAGAUUUUGGAUAUGCGUAAUCAUGCCAAUAAAAACUCCAAGAGCCACAGGGUGCAAGAACUACAAACUGUAGGCAUUUCUAGAACAGAUGGAAAUGGUGAUUUUGCUUCUGCUACGGGUGAUGGAAAGGAAAGGAAGAAGGAUAAGAGUGCUGUUGAUAAAUCUAUUGGUCCUAAGAAUGCUGAAGAGAAUCCAACUCCUGAUAAUACCAUGUCCACAGAGGUGAAACCUAAAGAGAAAACGAGAAACAAAAAGAAGCAAAGCAACUUGGGUUCAGAAUCUCUUUGUAAUAACCCAAAUGAAGAGUCAGUGUCUGAGCCAACUGUAGAAAAAUCUAAGGAUGUAGCAAUAAAAGCUGAUGAGAAAAUGACGGACUCCAAGACAGAUGAUAAACCAAAGGAUAAGAAGAAGAAGAAGAAGAAAAACAAGCUGUCUUCUGAUCCUAUUGUUGCUGAAGAAAAUCCACAGAAAAUUGAUUCUGAAAAUUUAAAGACUCCAAAGGAGGAUUUUAUUGAAAAACAGGAUAAAAAUUCCAAGAAGAGGAAAAGAACAGCGUCUGAAGAUGGUGAAAAACUAAUUGAAGAUCAGCCCAAUGGUGAAAAACUAGUUGAAGUAUCCAAACACAUAAAGACAGAAGAAUCUAAACGUAGAAAGACAAAAGAUUCUGAAGAGCCCAAAGUAAGAGAUCAUUCUACAGGGUUAGAUUCAUCCUCUAGAAUUGAAGAGAAGCCCCAGAAAGAAGAAAACAGCCAAACUGUUUCUGGCGAGGCCCAGAAAUUAUUGACUAUAGAGCUUAAUGGGCAGUCAAACCGAAGCCUCAAGGAAAUUGGAGAGAAAUCUUCCAUGAAGAAAAUCGAGAAGCAGCAGAAUGGUUCAACUGAGCCACAAUCAGCUAUACGUUUUCAGAGAGUAAAAGUUGACGACGUGGUAUUCUCUGAUGAGAGGCUUAAAGAUAAUUCAUAUUGGGCAAAGGAUGGAGCUGAGAUUGGCUAUGGUGCAAAAGCACAGGAUAUUCUUGGGCAAGUUAGAGGAAGGCGUCCCUGAGGCGAGAGGCGCAAGCCUCAAUAAAGGCAGGCGACUUCACUAAGGUGCGCGCCUUUGUGCGUCUUGGACCUAAGGGAUUUUAGGCAUGAAAAGACAAAGAAGAAACGUGGGUCAUACAGAGGAGGACAAAUUGACUUGCAAUCCCAUUCUGUCAAGUUCAACUAUUCUGAUGAUGAAUGAUUGGGGAUCUUUCUUUCUGCAGAUUUUGGGCAUCACUUAUCAUGAGCCAAUUUGGUGAUUUAGUUUCUGUAAGAGUUGUUUAUUGUUUUGCACUUUGACUAAUUUGACAACUUUUCUUAUUAUUGAAACAAUUCACGGAUUUGCAUAUAUUUGCUAUGCUUUGAAAUUCUUUGGGGUUCCUCCCCUUGCUUUC